GAGAUUGUUGGAUCUAUUUUAGCCCAAUAAUAAAUAGCUGCAUGCUUUUGAGAUAGUUAAUUGGCGUUUAUAAUCUACAAGUGGUAUCAGAGCCAGUGACCGAGGUUUAUUCUCAAAUGCUGCAUUAACGGUGCACGGUGCAGAUGUUGGGAGAGAUUGUUGACUAUUUAUUAUUGGGCUAAAAUAAGUCCAACAUCCUGCGCCAUGAUAAUAGGCUCAGGAGACUAAAAAAUUUAGUUGGGUGAACCUAAUAAGUUGAGUGGAUGUAUAACUCACAAGAAAUUUAAUGGCAAGAGGCCCAACAAUAAACUCAACGUCCAUGUGAGUUGAGUCAGGUCGAAACUCGCGAGCGCUGUGACUGAGCCCUUGAGUGCAAUAGGUGCGCAAUUCUUAUCAACACGUAUUUUUGGAAUAGUUGGUUAGCGCUUACGAUCAUUUAAAAAAUAAGUCAAACACGAGUUAAAUUUUUCGGUUCGAAAUUUUAAUGAGUCGAACACGAAUUAGAAUCAGCUCAUAAGUUUUGA
RNAcentral lists this long non-coding RNA (524 nucleotides) under Ananas comosus (pineapple). RNAcentral's name for it is "long non-coding RNA (ACOM_LNC044814)". The record is from RNAcentral. Lineage: Eukaryota; Viridiplantae; Streptophyta; Magnoliopsida; Poales; Bromeliaceae.